CCUACGGGAGGCUGCAGUGGGGAAUAUUGCACAAUGGGCGAAAGCCUGAUGCAGCGACGCCGCGUGGGCGAAGAAGGCCUUAGGGCCGGAAAGCCCUGUCGGGAGGGAAGAAGGAAGCGACGGUAGCACCCAAGGAAGCCUCGGCUAACUACGUGCCAGCAGCCGCGGUAAUACGUAGGGGGCGAGCGUUAGCCGGAAUCAUUGGGCGUAAAGGGUGCGUAGGCGGCCUGGGAAGGGCGGGGGCUAAGGCGGUGGCCCAACCACCGUUCGCCCCGCGAACUGGAGGGCUAGAGUGUCGGCGAGGGAAGCGGAAUUCCUUGUGUCGCGGUGCACUGCGUAGAUCUUAGG
This 348-nucleotide ribosomal RNA is filed under the name uncultured bacterium. RNAcentral describes it as "partial 16S ribosomal RNA". It matches the Rfam family "Bacterial small subunit ribosomal RNA", at positions 338 to 701 of the family's 1533-position model. The record is from RNAcentral.